Molecule: ribosomal RNA, 446 nt
Filed under: uncultured bacterium
Lineage: Bacteria
Description: bacterial SSU rRNA
Rfam family: Bacterial small subunit ribosomal RNA
Source: RNAcentral
GGGGAAUAUUGCACAAUGGGCGCAAGCCUGAUGCAGCCAUUGCCGCGUGUAUGAAGAAGGCCUUCGGGUUGUAAAGUACUUUCAGCAGUGAGGAAGGUGGAUAUGUUAAUAGCAUAUUCAUUUGACGUUUAGCUGCAGAAGAAGCACCGGCUAACUCCGUGCCAGCAGCCGCGGUAAUACGGAGGGUGCGAGCGUUAAUCGGAAUUACUGGGCGUAAAGCGCAUGCAGGUGGUUUGUUAAGUCAGAUGUGAAAGCCCGGGGCUCAACCUCGGAAUUGCAUUUGAAACUGGCAAACUAGAGUACUGUAGAGGGGGUAGAAUUUCAGGUGUAGCGGUGAAAUGCGUAGAGAUCUGAAGGAAUACCGGUGGCGAAGGCGGCCCCCUGGACAGAUACUGACACUCAGAUGCGAAAGCGUGGGGAGCAAACAGGAUUAGAUACCCUGGUAG